CCUACGGGUGGCAGCAGUGGGGAAUAUUGCACAAUGGGGGAAACUCUGACGCAGCGACGCCGCGUGAGCGAUGAAGUAUUUCGGUAUGUAAAGCUCUAUCAGCAGGGAAGAAAAUGACGGUACCUGACUAAGAAGCCCCGGCUAACUACGUGCCAGCAGCCGCGGUCAUACGUAGGGGGCAAGCGUUAUCCGGAUUUACUGGGUGUAAAGGGAGCGUAGGCGGCUGUGCAAGCCAGAUGUGAAAGCCCGGGGCUCAACCCCGGGACUGCAUUGGGAACUGGGUGGCUGGAGUGUCGGAGAGGCAGGCGGAAUUCCUAGUGUAGCGGUGAAAUGCGUAGAUAUUAGGAGGAACACCAGUGGCGAAGGCGGCCUGCUGGACGGUGACUGACGUUGAGGCUCGAAAGCGUGGGGAGCAAACAGGAUUAGAUACCCGAGUAGUC
This 440-nucleotide ribosomal RNA is filed under the name uncultured bacterium. RNAcentral's name for it is "partial 16S ribosomal RNA". It matches the Rfam family "Bacterial small subunit ribosomal RNA", at positions 338 to 795 of the family's 1533-position model. The record is from RNAcentral.